CUACGGGGCGCAGCAGUGAGGAAUUUUGCGCAAUGGGGGAAACCCUGACGCAGCAACGCCGCGUGAGCGAAGAAGGCCCUCGGGUCGUAAAGCUCUGUCAAGUGGGAAAAAAGCCUUUUGAUCAAUACCCAAAAGGUUUGAUGGUACCACUGGAGGAAGCACCGGCUAACUCCGUGCCAGCAGCCGCGGUAAUACGGAGGGUGCAAGCGUUGUUCGGAAUUACUGGGCGUAAAGGGCGUGCAGGCGGUUUGGCAAGUCAGAUGUGAAAGCCCUGGGCUUAACCCGGGAAGUGCAUUUGAAACUGCCUUUCUUGAGUAUGGGAGAGGAGAGUGGAAUUCCCAGUGUAGAGGUGAAAUUCGUAGAUAUUGGGAGGAACACCCGUGGCGAAGGCGACUCUCUGGACCAAUGCUGACGCUGAGACGCGAAAGCGUGGGGAGCAAACAGGAUUAGAUACCCGAGUAGUC
Molecule: ribosomal RNA, 464 nt
Filed under: uncultured bacterium
Lineage: Bacteria
Description: partial 16S ribosomal RNA
Rfam family: Bacterial small subunit ribosomal RNA
Source: RNAcentral